UUCGUAGGCGGCGCGGCAAGUCGGGAGUGAAAUCUCUGGGCUUAACUCAGAGGCUGCUUCCGAAACUGCCGUGCUCGAGUGUGGGAGAGGCGCGUGGAAUUGCAGGUGUAGCGGUGAAAUGCGUAGAUAUCUGCAGGAACACCCGUGGCGAAAGCGGCGCGCUGGACCACAACUGACGCUGAGGAACGAAAGCUAGGGGAGCAAACAGGAUUAGAUACCCUGGUAGUCCUAGCCCUAAACGAUCAGGACUUGGGGUGGCUUCCGUUCGGAAGUCGUCCCGGAGCUAACGCGUUAAGUCCUGCACCUGGGGAGUACGGUCGCAAGACUGAA
Molecule: ribosomal RNA, 330 nt
Filed under: uncultured bacterium
Lineage: Bacteria
Description: bacterial SSU rRNA
Rfam family: Bacterial small subunit ribosomal RNA
Source: RNAcentral